Callorhinus ursinus (northern fur seal) is the source of this 1661-nucleotide non-coding RNA. NCBI's taxonomy places the organism in Eukaryota, Metazoa, Chordata, Mammalia, Carnivora, Otariidae. The record is from RefSeq and is a predicted model, not a curated record.
CCGCCAAGUAGGAGCGAGCGGAGCCGCGAUGGAGACCAAGGUGAGCCCCGGGAAAGACAAUUAUCGAAUGAAGAGCUAUAAGAACAAUGCCCUAAACCCUGAGGAAAUGAGACGAAGAAGAGAGGAGGAGGGCAUUCAGCUCUGGAAGCAGAAACGGGAGCAACAACUUUUUAAACGGAGAAAUGUGGAGCUGAUUAAUGAAGCAGCUGCCAUGUUCGACAGUCUCCUCACGGACUCCUAUGUGAGCUCUACCACUGGGGAGAGUGUGAUCACACGAGAGAUGGUGGAGAUGCUCUUUUCUGAUGAUUCUGACCUGCAAUUAGCAACCACACAGAAAUUCCGGAAACUGCUCUCCAAAGAGCCUAGUGCUCCAAUAGAUGAAGUUAUCAACACUCCAGGAGUGGUGGAUCGGUUUGUGGAGUUUCUGAAGAGGAAUGAGAAUUGUACAUUAGAGUUUGAAGCUGCCUGGGCUCUAACGAACAUUGCCUCUGGAACCUCUCAGCAGACCAAGAUUGUCAUUGAAGCAGGGGCAGUCCCCAUUUUUAUAGAGCUGCUUAACUCGGACUUUGAGGAUGUACAGGAACAGGCAGUCUGGGCACUUGGAAACAUAGCUGGAGACAGCUCCGUCUGCCGAGAUUACGUCUUGAACUGUUCCACCCUUAAUCCUUUGUUAACACUCCUUACCAAGUCCACACGACUGACGAUGACACGGAAUGCAGUCUGGGCCCUGUCAAACCUCUGCCGAGGAAAGAACCCACCCCCAGAGUUUGCAAAGGUCUCCCCUUGUUUACCUGUGCUGUCUCGCCUACUCUUCGGCAGUGACUCAGACUUGCUGGCAGAUGCUUGCUGGGCCCUUUCUUAUCUGUCCGAUGGCCCCAACGAAAAGAUCCAGGCAGUCAUAGAUUCUGGAGUCUGCCGAAGACUGGUAGAGCUUUUAAUGCACAAUGACUACAAUGUGGCCUCUCCUGCCCUGAGAGCAGUGGUAACAUUGUCACCGGGGAUGACAUCCAAACCCAGGUCAUUCUUAACUGUUCAGCCCUCCCUUGCCUGCUCCACUUGCUGAGCAGCCCCAAGGAGUCAAUCCGGAAGGAAGCUUGCUGGACCAUUUCAAAUAUCACUGCUGGCAACAGGGCUCAAAUACAGGCUGUCAUAGAUGCAAAUAUCUUCCCUAUAUUGAUCGAAAUCCUUCAAAAAGCAGAGUUCCGUACAAGGAAAGAGGCAGCCUGGGCCAUCACCAAUGCUACAUCAGGAGGAACACCUGAGCAGAUCAGGUACCUGGUCUCACUGGGCUGCAUCAAACCCUUGUGCAACUUGCUGACUGUGAUGGAUUCGAAGAUUGUGCAGGUGGCCCUCAAUGGGUUAGAGAACAUCCUUCGGCUUGGAGAGCAAGAGGGCAAGCGCAGUGGCUCAGGGGUCAACCCGUACUGUGGCCUCAUUGAGGAAGCCUAUGGCUUGGAUAAAAUUGAGUUUCUCCAGAGCCAUGAGAACCAGGAAAUCUACCAGAAGGCCUUCGACCUUAUUGAGCACUACUUUGGUGUAGAAGAUGAUGAUAGCAGCCUGGCUCCCCAAGUGGAUGAGACACAACAGCAGUUCAUCUUCCAGCAGCCUGAGGCCCCCAUGGAGGGCUUCCAGCUAUAAUGUCUGCCUCCGGGGAGGGGAGG